AGAGGGACAGCUGGGUCAAGUGGUGGUUCCAUUCCCAGAUUUUCAAGGAAUCUCCAUACUGCUUUCCAAAUUGGCUACACCAAUUUGCACUCCCACCAGCUAU
RNAcentral lists this microRNA precursor (103 nucleotides) under Marmota monax (woodchuck). The record is from RNAcentral. Lineage: Eukaryota; Metazoa; Chordata; Mammalia; Rodentia; Sciuridae.